CUCCUAUGAUGAUCCAGCCAUGCUAAUACUGAUGCGCCAGGCGAGUGUCUGGGUGCAUGUGAGUUCAACCCAUCUUCUCACGCUGAUGUCUUCAGUGUGUGCUGAGGAGA
Small nucleolar RNA from Synchiropus splendidus (mandarinfish), 110 nucleotides. The record is from RefSeq and is a predicted model, not a curated record. NCBI's taxonomy places the organism in Eukaryota, Metazoa, Chordata, Actinopteri, Syngnathiformes, Callionymidae.